This 214-nucleotide unclassified non-coding RNA is filed under the name Hevea brasiliensis (rubber tree). The record is from RNAcentral. Lineage: Eukaryota; Viridiplantae; Streptophyta; Magnoliopsida; Malpighiales; Euphorbiaceae.
CAUCAGGUCCAAUAUCCUAAGCACCAAGGGAGUGCAACAGGCCAGGCCUUGCAACUGUGUGCGCCCCCACCUUUUGUAGCUGGUGGGCAGCAGCCAUUUGCAAUCCCAANGCAGCCCUUUCCAAUCCCAAGCCACUUUCCCCUUCUGCAACCUCCUAUUUCUGCUAACCGGCCCAUUCGAGUUCCAGGAUCAAAUGCUCUCUUUGGCACAAAGU